GAGGGUGCAAGCGUUAAUCGGAAUUACUGGGCGUAAAGCGUGCGUAGACGGUUAUUUAAGUCGGGUGUGAAAGCCCCGGGCUCAACCUGGGAAUUGCAUUCGAGACUGAAUAGCUAGGGUGCGGAAGAGGGAAGCGGAAUUUCCGGUGUAGCGGUGAAAUGCGUAGAUAUCGGAAGGAACACCAGUGGCGAAAGCGGCUUCCUGGUCCAGCACCGACGUUCAGGCACGAAAGCGUGGGGAGCAAACAGGAUUAGAUACCCUGGUAGUCCACGCCAUAAACGAUGAGGACUAGACGUUGAGAGGGUAAGCCUCCCAGUGUCGCAGCUAACGCGAUAAGUCCUCCGCCUGGGGAGUACGGCCGCAAGGUUG
This 369-nucleotide ribosomal RNA is filed under the name uncultured organism. Its description in RNAcentral is "bacterial SSU rRNA". It matches the Rfam family "Bacterial small subunit ribosomal RNA", at positions 528 to 896 of the family's 1533-position model. The record is from RNAcentral.